GGCUUAGAGUUUGAUCAUGGCUCAGGAUGAACGCUGGCGGCGUGCCUAACACAUGCAAGUCGAGCGAAGCACUUUACUUUGAGAUCUUCGGAAGGAUAAGUUUUGUGACUGAGCGGCGGACGGGUGAGUAACGCGUGGGUAACCUGCCUCAUACAGGGGGAUAACAGUUAGAAAUGACUGCUAAUACCGCAUAAGACCGCAGCACCGCAUGGUGCAGGGGUAAAAACUCCGGUGGUAUGAGAUGGAACCGCGUCUGAUUAGCUAGUUGGUAAGGUAACGGCUUACCAAGGCAACGAUCAGUAGCCGACCUGAGAGGGUGACCGGCCACAUUGGGACUGAGACACGGCCCAAACUCCUACGGGAGGCAGCAGUGGGGAAUAUUGCACAAUAGGGGAAACCCUGAUGCAGCGACGCCGCGUGAGCGAAGAAGUAUUUCGGUAUGUAAAGCUCUAUCAGCAGGGAAGAAACUGACGGUACCUGACUAAGAAGCACCGGCUAAAUACGUGCCAGCAGCCGCGGUAAUACGUAUGGUGCAAGCGUUAUCCGGAUUUAAUGGGUGUAAAGGGAGCGUAGACGGAUAGGCAAGUCUGGAGUGAAAGCCCGGGGCUCAACCCCGGGACUGCUUUGGAAACUGUUUAUCUAGAGUGCUGGAGAGGUAAGUG
RNAcentral lists this ribosomal RNA (662 nucleotides) under uncultured bacterium. RNAcentral describes it as "bacterial SSU rRNA". It matches the Rfam family "Bacterial small subunit ribosomal RNA", at positions 1 to 663 of the family's 1533-position model. The record is from RNAcentral.